This 209-nucleotide long non-coding RNA is filed under the name Helianthus annuus (common sunflower). Its description in RNAcentral is "sRNA HanXRQr2_Chr09g0409641". Lineage: Eukaryota; Viridiplantae; Streptophyta; Magnoliopsida; Asterales; Asteraceae. The record is from RNAcentral.
UAUGAUAGUAAUUAAUAUUUCCAACAUACAAGCUCUUGCCAUCGCCUAUUUUCUUUGCUUCGUUUAAAACAGCGUCCACUCUGACAAACGUGUCAUCGUCACACUUCAUGAUAUACUUGGCAGAUGCUAAACGAGCAACAACAUGUGAAGAUUUAAUAAGAUUAUGCUGCAUCCAGGACUUCCUGACAGCCAUCCGUUCGGCAAAAUGA